CCUACGGGAGACAGCAGUGAGGAAUAUUGGUCAAUGGGCGCGAGCCUGAACCAGCCAAGUAGCGUGAAGGAUGACUGCCCUGCGGGUUGUAAACUUCUUUUGUAAAGGAAUAAAGUGAGGCACGUGUGCCUUUUUGUAUGUACUUUAUGAAUAAGGAUCGGCUAACUCCGUGCCAGCAGCCGCGGUAAUACGGAGGAUCCGAGCGUUAUCCGGAUUUAUUGGGUUUAAAGGGUGCGUAGAUGGGUUGUUAAGUCAGUUGUGAAAGUUUGCGGCUCAACCGUAACCUUGCAAUUGAUACUGGCAGUCUUGAGUACAGUGGAGGUAGGCGGAAUGCGUGGUGUAGCGGUGAAAUGCUUAGAUAUCACGCAGAACUCCGAUUGCGAAGGCAGCUUACUA
This 396-nucleotide ribosomal RNA is filed under the name uncultured bacterium. RNAcentral describes it as "partial 16S ribosomal RNA". It matches the Rfam family "Bacterial small subunit ribosomal RNA", at positions 338 to 731 of the family's 1533-position model. The record is from RNAcentral.